This 90-nucleotide transfer RNA is filed under the name bacterium. Its description in RNAcentral is "tRNA-Ser". It matches the Rfam family "tRNA". Rfam says of the family: Transfer RNA (tRNA) molecules are approximately 80 nucleotides in length. The record is from RNAcentral. RNAcentral also lists the same sequence under 4 other names.
GGAAGGGUGGCUGAGUCCGGUUUAAGGCACUCGACUCGAAAUCGAACGUAGGGAAACCUACCGCGGGUUCGAAUCCCGCCCCUUCCGCCA